UACAGAGGCCCCAAGCGUUAGGCGGAAUCACUGGGCUUAAAGCGUGUGUAGGCGGGUCGUUUAGUAACUUGUGAAAUCCCACGGCUUAACCGUGGAACCGCUUGGUAUACUGGCGGUCUUGAGCCACUUAGGGGCUACCGGAACAGAUGGUGGAGCGGUGAAAUGCGUAGAUAUCUGGAGGAACACCGGUGGCGAAGGCGGCGUCCUGGACCAACACUGACACUGAGGAGCGAAAGCCAGGGGAGCAAACGGG
Molecule: ribosomal RNA, 253 nt
Filed under: uncultured bacterium
Lineage: Bacteria
Description: partial 16S ribosomal RNA
Rfam family: Bacterial small subunit ribosomal RNA
Source: RNAcentral